RNAcentral lists this ribosomal RNA (253 nucleotides) under uncultured bacterium. Its description in RNAcentral is "partial 16S ribosomal RNA". It matches the Rfam family "Bacterial small subunit ribosomal RNA", at positions 524 to 776 of the family's 1533-position model. The record is from RNAcentral.
UACGUAGGGACCAAGCGUUGUCCGGAAUCAUUGGGCGUAAAGAGCGUGUAGGCGGCUUGUUAAGUCUUGCGUGAAAUCUCGGGGCUCAACCCCGAGCGGUCGUGAGAAACUGGCAGGCUAGAGUGCGGGAGAGGAGAGUGGAAUUCCUGGUGUAGCGGUGAAAUGCGCAGAUAUCAGGAAGAACACCCGUGGCGAAGGCGGCUCUCUGGAACGGUACUGACGCUGAGACGCGAAAGCGUGGGGAGCGAACAGG